CAGACGGUUUCGCAAACUGGCCUUGAACACAAGUGUUGUCAAACUGUGCCGGAGCUGGGACCCGUUUCUGCUGCUGAAACAUCCAGGUGUGUGGCGAGAGCGUGAGCUUCAGAUCCUGGUUCCACCACUCCGUGCCCAAUUCUGUAACUUUCGAUGGGAAGAGUGACACUACUAAUUUCAUAGUACCAGUGGGAGAAAGGGAAGGGACGAGGGUAUCUAGCUUGGUGGCCAGCGCACAGACAGACUGCAACAGAGGCCAGUAAGUAAGAGCUGGGGGGGGGGGGGGGGGGGGGGGGGGGGGGGGGGCGGGGACAUGUCAAGUGGUGACAGCAGGGAGGGAAGAAGAGGAGGAUGUGAUACAGUAUUGAGUAGUGACAGUCCCACUGGUGGUCUUACCACCCAGAUAAUUCUUGGCUCUCUGUCACAGGGCUCAGAGGACAUCCUGCCUCUCCCAAUCUCUACCGAAGGAGUCCCAGAAAGAAAGAGGUGCCUGGCAAGGGAAUUCUAUGUACCCCCUGACUUCCAAAGGGCUGGGACGGUUGCAGGUAAGAGCUCUGACUGGUUCAUCAUCCUGAGACUGGUGAGUUUGCUCAACGGUUGGCCUAAGAGGGAAGAUGCCAGAGAGGUCCCUCCUCCUGCUGAAACCAAGGGGCAAGAAGUUAAUCCCCCAAAGGUGCUGCCACCUGCCACAGGAUGUUUCAUCGUAAAUGAAAGAUACACUGCAUAAAUCAUGUAUGCUCAGUACUUGUUGAAUCAAUGAAUGUUGGUGGAUAAAUAUCGCUAAGCAUUCCUUUAAUAGGGCACAGAGUUAUCUUUUUUUUUUUUAAGUUUAUUUAUUUCGAGAGACGGAGCGAGAGAGAGCAUGUAUAUGCGUUGGGGAGGGGCAGAGAGAGAGUGAGGCCAAGAAUCCCAAGCAGGCUCUGUGCUCCCAAUGCAGGCCUUGAACCCACGAAUCAUGCGAUCAUGACCUUAGCCGAAAUCAAGAGUUGGACUCUUAACCAACUGAGCCACCCGGGCACCCCAGAGCACAGAGUGUUC
Molecule: long non-coding RNA, 1038 nt
Filed under: Felis catus (domestic cat)
Lineage: Eukaryota; Metazoa; Chordata; Mammalia; Carnivora; Felidae
Description: lncRNA (ENSFCAG00000040974.2)
Source: RNAcentral